Molecule: unclassified non-coding RNA, 22 nt
Filed under: Mus musculus (house mouse)
Lineage: Eukaryota; Metazoa; Chordata; Mammalia; Rodentia; Muridae
Description: oocyte_clustered_small_RNA13345
Source: RNAcentral
UGAGAUGUUCCCUUCACCCCGG